This 459-nucleotide ribosomal RNA is filed under the name uncultured bacterium. Its description in RNAcentral is "partial 16S ribosomal RNA". It matches the Rfam family "Bacterial small subunit ribosomal RNA", at positions 338 to 795 of the family's 1533-position model. The record is from RNAcentral.
CCUACGGGCGACAGCAGUGAGGAAUAUUGGUCAAUGGCCGAGAGGCUGAACCAGCCAAGUCGCGUGAGGGAAGACGGUCCUACGGGUUGUAAACCUCUUUUGUCGGGGAGCAAAGCGUGUCACGUGUGCCCCCUUGAGUGUACCCGACGAAAAAGCAUCGGCUAACUCCGUGCCAGCAGCCGCGGUCAUACGGAGGAUGCGAGCGUUAUCCGGAUUUAUUGGGUUUAAAGGGUGCGCAGGCGGUGGUUCAAGUCAGCGGUCAAAUUGCGGGGCUCAACCCCGGACUGCCGUUGAAACUGCAAGCCUUGAGUGCGCGAGAAGUAUGCGGAAUGCGUGGUGUAGCGGUGAAAUGCAUAGAUAUCACGCAGAACUCCGAUUGCGAAGGCAACAUACCGGCGCGCAACUGACGCUGAUGCACGAAAGCGUGGGUAUCGAACAGGAUUAGAUACCCCUGUAGUC